UGGGGGAUAUUGCACAAUGGGCGAAAGCCUGAUGCAGCGACGCCGCGUGGGGGAUGAAGGCCUUCGGGUUGUAAACUUCUUUUGCUCUGAACAAGGCGCACCAUGGGGUGUGUUGAGUGUAGGGGUUGAUUAGCGCCGGCUAACUACGUGCCAGCAGCCGCGGUAAUACGUAGGGCGCGAGCGUUGUCCGGAAUUAUUGGGCGUAAAGGGCUUGUAGGUGGCUGGUUGCGUCUGUCGUGAAAGCUCAUGGCUUAACUGUGGGUUUGCGGUGGGUACGGGCUGGAUUGAGUGCAGUAGGGGAGGCUGGAAUUCCUGGUGUAGCGGUGGAAUGCGAAGAUAUCAGGAGGAAUACCGGUGGCGAAGGCGGGUCUCUGGGCUGUUACUGACACUGAGGAGCGAAAGCAUGGGGAGCGAACAGG
This 419-nucleotide ribosomal RNA is filed under the name bacterium. RNAcentral describes it as "partial 16S ribosomal RNA". It matches the Rfam family "Bacterial small subunit ribosomal RNA", at positions 355 to 776 of the family's 1533-position model. The record is from RNAcentral.